This 1530-nucleotide ribosomal RNA is filed under the name Haemophilus influenzae. Its description in RNAcentral is "bacterial LSU rRNA". It matches the Rfam family "Bacterial large subunit ribosomal RNA", at positions 1192 to 2705 of the family's 2925-position model. The record is from RNAcentral. Lineage: Bacteria; Pseudomonadati; Pseudomonadota; Gammaproteobacteria; Pasteurellales; Pasteurellaceae.
UCUUAGAGUGAGGAUGAUUAGUGAUACGCCUGUUGGGUAGGGGAGCGUUGUGUAAGCGGAAGAAGGUUCAUCGAGAGGUGGGCUGGACGUAUCACAAGUGCGAAUGCUGACAUAAGUAACGAUAAAACGGGUGAAAAACCCGUUCGCCGGAAGACCAAGGGUUCCUGUCCAACGUUAAUCGGGGCAGGGUGAGUCGGCUCCUAAGGCGAGGCUGAAAAGCGUAGUCGAUGGGAAACAGGUUAAUAUUCCUGUACUUGGUAAAGCUGCGAUGUGGGGACGGAGUAGGUUAGGUUAUCGCACUGUUGGAUAUGUGCGUUUAAGUUGGUAGGUGGGAAGUUUAGGCAAAUCCGGACUUCCUUAACACAGAGAGAUGAUGACGAGGCUCUACGGAGCUGAAGUAACUGAUACCACACUUCCAGGAAAAGCCACUAAGCGAAAGGCUUUACUAAACCGUACUGAAAACCGACACAGGUGGUCAGGUAGAGAAUACUCAGGCGCUUGAGAGAACUCGGGUGAAGGAACUAGGCAAAAUAGCACCGUAACUUCGGGAGAAGGUGCGUCGGCGUAGAUUGUAGUCCCUAGCGGGCGAAGGUUGAACCGGUCGAAGAUACCAGCUGGCUGCAACUGUUUAUUAAAAACACAGCACUCUGCAAACACGAAAGUGGACGUAUAGGGUGUGAUGCCUGCCCGGUGCUGGAAGGUUAAUUGAUGGUGUCAUCGCAAGAGAAGCACCUGAUCGAAGCCCCAGUAAACGGCGGCCGUAACUAUAACGGUCCUAAGGUAGCGAAAUUCCUUGUCGGGUAAGUUCCGACCUGCACGAAUGGCAUAAUGAUGGCCAGGCUGUCUCCACCCGAGACUCAGUGAAAUUGAAAUCGCCGUGAAGAUGCGGUGUACCCGCGGCUAGACGGAAAGACCCCGUGAACCUUUACUAUAGCUUGACACUGAACAUUGAAUUUUGAUGUGUAGGAUAGGUGGGAGACUUAGAAGUAGGAACGCCAGUUUCUAUGGAGUCAUCCUUGAAAUACCACCCUUUAACGUUUGAUGUUCUAACGAAGAUGACGAAACGUGGUCUCGGACAGUGUCUGGUGGGUAGUUUGACUGGGGCGGUCUCCUCCCAAAGCGUAACGGAGGAGCACGAAGGUUUGCUAAUCACGGUCGGACAUCGUGAGGUUAGUGCAAUGGUAUAAGCAAGCUUAACUGCGAGACAGACAAGUCGAGCAGGUACGAAAGUAGGUCAUAGUGAUCCGGUGGUUCUGAAUGGAAGGGCCAUCGCUCAACGGAUAAAAGGUACUCCGGGGAUAACAGGCUGAUACCGCCCAAGAGUUCAUAUCGACGGCGGUGUUUGGCACCUCGAUGUCGGCUCAUCACAUCCUGGGGCUGAAGUAGGUCCCAAGGGUAUGGCUGUUCGCCAUUUAAAGUGGUACGCGAGCUGGGUUUAGAACGUCGUGAGACAGUUCGGUCCCUAUCUGCCGUGGGCGUUGGAUGAUUUAUUGGGGCUGCUCCUAGUACGAGAGGACCGGAGUGGACGCA